ACUUUCUCGGCCUUAAGCUUGCGUAGGCUGCAGCAGGGUACGUUAAAUAAUUAAAAAAAUACGGGGUUUGAUGUCGUCGAUAUGUAAAUUAGUUAAUUUGCAUCACAAGAACUACGUAUAAUUGUUAUCAAGUUUGAUGUGAUGGACCCUUUUGAGUAAUUUUGUUGGUUUGUUUUUUUUUUAAAAAAAAAAAAUAGGAUCGUUUCUUGAGAUCUUGAUAGAAAGCAUAGGAGGAAAGUGAGGCGUGCAGCUCUCUCUAUUAUCGACAUUGUAUAAUUUGAGAAGAGAAAGAAGAGACAAUUAUCGACACAACUUGCAUAUUCCCUUUUAAUUAUAAUCCUGGAUCAAGAUUCUCUAUUCUUAAUUGUGUAAUUGAUUUAUGGGGAAUGAAUCAGCAUCCCUAAAAUUACACUAAUCUUGACAUAAUGACAUCAUCGGUUAAAAACGUUCAGAUUUAUGGUUAAUCAAUGGUUUGAGAUUUGUUAUCAUUAAUGCUAAAUAUUUUUUAACAUUUUUUCUAUCUCUCUCUCCUGAAGGAUUUUCUAGGAAAAUGCAUCCACAACAAAAAUUUUAAAUUGUAAACAACAAACAAAGUAUAAACGUUAAAUCUAAGGAACUGCGUUGCAUUUCAGCUGAAGCUAACUUUAAUAUUUUACGGAGAAAAAUAAUUAAGUCUUUAAUGUGAUUUAUUUAUUAAUAUAUAUGACUAAUUUUUUAAAAUAAGAUGAAGGAUGAAGCAGAAAAAUAUAAAUUAUAGAAUUAAUUUCUCUCUUCAAUAAAUCUAAAGUUUAUUUUUUUAUUACAUGCUUCUAUUUUAUUUUUAUUCCAUGUUAAUGAAUGGAGAUUUAAAUCCAUUUUGGAUUUAUAAAGAUGUUUAGAUAUCUAAAUCCACGUGUGAUUCCAAACUUGAACCUUUUUUUUUCUAAUUAAUGCAAGCCGCCUCUUUGACUGCUUUUCUUCUUUGAUUAUUAAUUAAUUAAUUCAGCUGCCCACCUUUCUUUUCCUAAUGUUUUCUACUCUCAAAUUUUUUGAAGGACAAGGCUACGUUGCAGACGCUCUUAGCUAGGCUUUGGCAAAAUUUUGGGUCCGGUCCGGGUUUGAUGCAACCUGGGACUAGAUCGGACGCAAAAAAUUAAAACCUGGACCCGGAUAAAACCCAGCUGUAUGUCCGGUACGAGCUUGAGCCCGGCGUGUCCCGGGUCCGGGUUUUGUCUUCCGGGCUUCUAAGCCCGCAAACAAUUCUUUCGAAAAGAAGACAAAAGGCACAGGGCUAUUAGCAGUGGCAGAACAUGAAGAUGAAGAGAUGAAAUGAAAUGGCUGUCACAAAAGCAUGCAUGGUGAUGGGUACAUCACUACGUCUUAAACAAACAAAAACACAACAACAAAAGAACACAAAACACAGCCUUUUUUUUUUCUUUUUAUUUUUUUUUCCUUGAAUCUUAUUUUUGUUUCUUUCUUUCCUUCAACCCAUUCCCAUAUAUCUUUAAUCAACAAUGACAGUGAUGGAAAUAGUUCAAUCGGAGCAACUGAAACAGCUCAAAGACAUAUUCAUGCGUUUCGACAUGGACUUGGACGGCAGCCUCACGCAGCUGGAACUGGCCGCACUCCUGCGCGCCCUGGGGCUCAAGCCAACCGGCGACCAGCUGCACAUUUUGUUGGCCGACAUGGAUUCCAACGGCAACGGCCUCGUCGAAUUUGACGAAUUGGUUGCUCUAAUACUCCCCGACAUCAGCGAGCAAGUCUUGGUCAACCAAGAACAACUCAUGGAGGUCUUUCGGUCCUUCGAUCGCGACGGCAACGGCCAAAUCACUGCGGCCGAGCUCGCGGGCUCCAUGGCCAAAAUGGGCCACCCUUUGACGUACGGCGAGCUAUCGGAGAUGAUGAGGGAGGCCGACACCAAUGGCGACGGUGUCAUUAGUUUUAAUGAGUUCGCUACCAUUAUGGCAAAGUCUGCUGCCGACUUUCUCGGCCUUAAGCUUGCGUAGGCUGCAGCAGGGUACGUUAAAUAAUUAAAAAAAUACGGGGUUUGAUGUCGUCGAUAUGUAAAUUAGUUAAUUUGCAUCACAAGAACUACGUAUAAUUGUUAUCAAGUUUGAUGUGAUGGACCCUUUUGAGUAAUUUUGUUGGUUUGUUUUUUUUUUAAAAAAAAAAAAUAGGAUCGUUUCUUGAGAUCUUGAUAGAAAGCAUAGGAGGAAAGUGAGGCGUGCAGCUCUCUCUAUUAUCGAC
RNAcentral lists this long non-coding RNA (2226 nucleotides) under Citrus sinensis (sweet orange). RNAcentral describes it as "long non-coding RNA (CSIN_LNC002908)". The record is from RNAcentral. Lineage: Eukaryota; Viridiplantae; Streptophyta; Magnoliopsida; Sapindales; Rutaceae.